RNAcentral lists this ribosomal RNA (598 nucleotides) under uncultured bacterium. Its description in RNAcentral is "bacterial SSU rRNA". It matches the Rfam family "Bacterial small subunit ribosomal RNA", at positions 915 to 1509 of the family's 1533-position model. The record is from RNAcentral.
GGGGGCCCGCACAAGCGGCGGAGCAUGCGGAUUAAUUCGAUGCAACGCGAAGAACCUUACCAAGGCUUGACAUGAACCGGAAAUACCUGGAAACAGGUGCCCCGCUUGCGGUCGGUUUACAGGUGGUGCAUGGUUGUCGUCAGCUCGCGUCGUGAGAUGUUGGGUUAAGUCCCGCAACGAGCGCAACCCUCGUUCUAUGUUGCCAGCGCGUUAUGGCGGGGACUCAUAGGAGACUGCCGGGGUCAACUCGGAGGAAGGUGGGGACGACGUCAAAUCAUCAUGCCCCUUAUGUCUUGGGCUUCACGCAUGCUACAAUGGCCGGUACAAAGGGUUGCGAUACUGUGAGGUGGAGCUAAUCCCAAAAAGCCGGUCUCAGUUCGGAUUGGGGUCUGCAACUCGACCCCAUGAAGUCGGAGUCGCUAGUAAUCGCAGAUCAGCAACGCUGCGGUGAAUACGUUCCCGGGCCUUGUACACACCGCCCGUCAAGUCACGAAAGUUGGUAACACCCGAAGCCGGUGGCCUAACCCCUUGUGGGAGGGAGCUGUCGAAGGUGGGACUGGCGAUUGGGACUAAGUCGUAACAAGGUAACCGUAAGGGC